GGCGGCGGCCCCUAGACUGCAAGUCGAACGGUAACGACACUAGCUUGCUAGUGGGCGACGAGCCUUUUAAGGGUGAGUAACGCGUAGGAAUCUACCUAGUACCGUGGGAUAGCCAAGGGAAACUUUGGGUAAUACCGCAUACGAUCUACGGAUGAAAGGGGGCCUCUCUUUGAAGCUCUCGCUAUUAGAUGAGCCUGCGUAAGAUUAGCUUGUUGGUGGGGUAAUGGCCUACCAAGGCGACGAUCUUUAGCUGGUCUGAGAGGAUGAUCAGUCACACUGGAACUGAGACACGGUCCAGACUCCUACGGGAGGCAGCAGUCGGGAAUAUUGGGCAAUGGGGGAAACCCUGAUCCAGCCAUGCCGCGUGUGUGAAGAAGGCUCUAGGGUUGUAAAGCACUUUUAGUAAGGAGGAAGGCUCAGUAGUUAAUACCUGCUGGGAUUGACGUUACUUACAGAAAAAGCACCGGCUAAUUUCGUGCCAGCAGCCGCGGUAAUACGAAAGGUGCAAGCGUUAAUCGGAAUUACUGGGCGUAAAGCGCGCGUAGGCGGCUUAGUAAGUUAGAUGUGAAAGCCCCGGGCUCAACCUGGGAACUGCAUCUAAAACUGCUAGGCUAGAGUAUGGUAGAGGAUGGCGGAAUUUCCUGUGUAGCGGUGAAAUGCGUAGAUAUAGGAAGGAACAUCAGUGGCGAAGGCGGCCAUCUGGACCAAUACUGACGCUGAGGUGCGAAAGCGUGGGGAGCAAACAGGAUUAGAUACCCUGGUAGUCCACGCCGUAAACGAUGAGAACUAGCCGUUGGACAUCUUGCAUGUUUAGUGGCGCAGCUAACGCGAUAAGUUCUCCGCCUGGGGAGUACGGCCGCAAGGUUAAACUCAAAUGAAUUGACGGGGGCCCGCAACAGCCGUGGAGCAUGUGGUUUAUUUCAACGCACCGCGAAAAACUUUCCUACCCUUGACUCCCUCGGACUUUCUAGAGAUAGAUUGUGGCCUUCGGGAACGAAGGGCCGGGGCUGCUGGCUUGUCUCAGCUCGGGCCGGGAAGGUGGGGUAAUUCCCGAAAGACCGCAACCUUAUCCUUUUUGCCGCGGUUCGCCGGGAACUUAAG
RNAcentral lists this ribosomal RNA (1101 nucleotides) under uncultured Gammaproteobacteria bacterium. Its description in RNAcentral is "bacterial SSU rRNA". It matches the Rfam family "Bacterial small subunit ribosomal RNA", at positions 38 to 1143 of the family's 1533-position model. Lineage: Bacteria; Pseudomonadati; Pseudomonadota; Gammaproteobacteria. The record is from RNAcentral.